UUUUUUUUUUUUUUUUUGAAAGUUUUAGCCCUGGACCUAACACAGAGUAAGUGUUCAGAAAUGGAAAAGUUAACUAAAUGAAUUGAUGUAUUCUUAGGAUUUGAAAAUAUAGUUUGAAAAUAUGAUUUAAGGAUGCUUGGGUAGCUUAGUCUGUUGAGUGUCUGACUCUUGAUUUCGGCUGGGGUCAUGAUCUCAGUGUGGCGGGACUGAGUCCUCCCCUGCUCACCUGAGUGCACGUGUGCAUACUCUCUCUCUUAAAUAAAUAAAUAAAUAAAUAAAACCUAAAAAAAAAAGAAAAAGUAAAUAUGAUUUAGAUAAGAUUAAUGAAAAGACAUUCAGAUGAUUUAUCAAAUUAUUAAAUGACUCAACCACAUAAUUAUAGAAUUUAUAUAAAAUAUUAAAAAAUUAUGGAAUUGAUUCUGAUGGAAUCAUAAUCACCUUAUAAAAAUUCUAAACAAUGAUAAAAUGUAAUUGCAUAUUUGUAAAUAAUGACUUCAGAAUACCUGCACAAUUUUUUUUUAAUUUUUCAAGUUUUUAUUUUAAUUGCAGUUAGUUAACAUAUAGUGUAAUAUUGGUUUCUGGAGUAGAAUUUAGUGGUUCAUCACUUACAUAUAAACAUUCAGUAUUUACACAAAUUUUUUAAAUAAAAUGAUUUUAAUCCCAAAGGGUAACUGAGAUAUAUCAUAUAAUCCAAUAAGAAUAUAAUUAGCUGGGUGACGGGCACUGAGGGGGGCACUUGACGGGAUGAGCACUGGGUGUUAUUCUGUAUGUUGUAAAUUGAACACCAAUAAAAAAUAAAUUUAUUAUUAAAAAAUGAAAAAAAAACACCUUUAAAAAAAGAAUAUAAUUAGCAUAUAUGAUUUUAUUUAUAAAUUCAGGCUACCACUGUUAAAUAUUCUUUAUACUUUUCAAAAAAGUACCUACUACCACCCUACAUUUCAUAAAACUAUUCAUCUUUUUGUCUUUUACGUUGUAAAAUACCUGAUGCUUAUCUACUAGCUCGGCCAUUUGCUUUGCUGUUCAACACACUGACCAAAGAAAAUAGUAUACAUUGGAAACUGUUAAAUCCUAUGAAGUGCACUGUUAUCUCUAAUGUCUUCAUGAAUUAAUAUAUCAAAAGCAUGGUUGAGACGGAAACUGGCUAAGUUAACUAAAUUGUCUCACAAAGAUGAACCUGGAACUGGAUUUUUUGCUGUUUGUAAGGUGAAAUGUUCAUAACAUUUUCAUCAGUUCUGUAGAUGUGAGACUCUAUUAAAUGUUAAGAUUAUAUCCUCUAGAUUCAAACUAAACUUUUUCUAAUUUCAUUUUUCCGUACAGUGAACAAGUGGAUGUCCACCAGCUUUCUAAAGGAUCUAUUUGGGGGUGAGGUGGGAUGAGGAGGGGUGUCGGGCAGAGAACCAAAGAAAGAAGAACAGGGUCUCAUUUCUCAAUGAGAAAUAUAUAAGUGUGACAUCCAAGUGUCCUUUUGGAACAAGUUCGUUGCAACCAAACACGAUGUUUUUCAUCCUGGGACAGUGAGAGGCGUCUGGGAGCUCUUAGAAAAGCUAGAUUACUGAACCCUACCCAUAGAUGCCAAGUGAAGCCCCGGAUGUUGUAUUUUCUAAAUCUUCAGGUGAUAAUUAUGAUCAUCUAGUUUGAAAUCUAUAUACCAGAGAACGUUAUUUCUGCAUAGAAUAAGCUAGAUUAUCCACUCAUAGGUUAUAUACAGAUGCUAAACGUCAUGAUCAACUUCCUGGCUUAUUUUUCAUGGGAUCUCCUAAAGCGCCUACACUCAGCACUAUUCCUUUGGCAUCCCUCGGGUUCUACCUGAAAAGCACAAGGCCACGUAUUAGCUUUGGAAAGGAGGACGAGCCUUCUGUAAGGUAUCAAUAAUGACAAAAUAACAAUAGCUCUGAUUAUGUGCCAGACACUGAAGUAGAGAAUUCCAUUAUAUUAUUUAAUCCUCACAAUAAUCCUGUUCACACAUACCCAUCUUACAGCAUUUCAGCAGUAACUACAUAUGAUUUCUAUAAUGUGUUUAACAUCUGGUAUACAGCAGGGACUAAAUGAAUUACAAUUUUGUUAUUUAUAGAUAAAAAUUCAAAAACCCAGAAACUAAGAAAGGAUAAAUGGUUGGCCCAGGUCAUACUGUCAGAAUUCAAACCUAAGUGUAGCUCCAGAGGCUGAGCACCUUUCGCUAUGGAAAAUUAGGAAGGGGGAUGACGAGAAGCAAAAGAGGGAGCGGGAUGCUGUCAAAAACUCUUUAGAUAUAAAACCCAGCGAAACACUCAUGUCCUUGGGAAAAAAAAAAAAAAUCACCAAUUCCGCACUUGUCCUAAUUCUAGUUUCUCACUAAAAAUAACCAAAAUUAACUCAUUAAAUGAAGCAUAAAACACAUUUAUUGGAAGAACGUUAGGUAGCUGACAGAUUCAAAGGUGACCUUGCUCAACGAGGCUUGUUGAGGAACCCACACUGGGAAUGCUUGGGCAAAAUUUUGCCACGAAAAUAGUUAGCUCGGGAUAAGGCAGCUGGCUCGUCAGCCCCAGGAGCUUCCACUGACCAGGCCCGGCUCACCCAUGAGCACAGGACCCGCAUAGAGGCCCCCUCUCCUCUUGGCUCUGCUGCGGUUGCCUCACAUGACCUCACGUGACCUUGUGCCUCCGGCUCAUCCUGCCUCGGGAUUUCCCUUCUUCCAUAUGCAGCUAAAUUCAAACUUGCCAAAAGGCGGAAAGAAAGAAACGCUGGGUGUUAUUCUGUAUGUUGGCGAAUUGAACACCAAUAAAAAAUAAUUAUUAAAAAAAAAAAGAAUAACUUUUCCUUUCAUCCUGGCAGAGUACAGGGCUCAGUGUCACUGGAAAAAAAAAGUAGCCGAGUGUUGUACUGAUGACAUCACCCACAUGUAGCAUUCUUGCGGGAAUCUACAAAUCCUAGAAUGAUGCAGAACAGUCGGCCAGGAGAGAGAAUGGGAAGUCUUUUCAGAUGGAUUCCUGUCACUGCGGGGGUUCUGAUAUGUAAAGGAUGCUCAUCUAGAUUACCGUCCAAAUCAGAGACUGAAAGGCAGGGCCAUCAUUAAGCAUUCCGGGAUCAUCCCAGGCAAACCUGGAUGCACCAUCACCCAACUAUUUUUUUUUCACCCAACUAUUUAAAUGGAAAUACCUUGGUAUAUUUGUGUAUAUUCCUAACUGCCUAAGAAUAAUGAUCCUUCUUUACCAUUCUUUUUCCUAUCUCACUUUCUCACUCCCUCCUGUUUCUCCCUCCUCUCUCUUUUUCUCUUCUUUAUUUUUAAUUACGAGGAUUGUGGCCAUCCAGUGGAGCUUCGGUCAUUGGGCUACCUCAGAUUUCCCUAAAUAUUAGCGCUGCUAUUGUCAGACAUCUGAUAGCAUAUCCAGUGGCUGAGCCGGGGAGGGGGUGGGGGGGGGGGGUAGAGUUCUUAAUCACUUUUCAAAUAAGUAAUGUUUUGAUCCCUGGAUCUAGCCGAAACUGUUAGUAGAACUCUACAGAAAGGAUCCUGGGAAACAAACGUUCAGUCAGGCUGAAACUGCAAUAAGAGCAUCCUCUCUGCUUUUCUAGACGAUGGUGGGGGGUCUAGCAAGAGGGGAGUUGAGAGGAGCAGAGAGACAAUGAUUUUGCUGUGUGUGUGCAGGUCUACCUUGCCUGUGUCCUUGAAGAGAUAUGCUUAUUUUAUGUAGGGUGCUGAGAGGAAAGAGGGAAGGGUCUCUCUCAUAACCUACAAAACCUACGGUUUCCAUCACUGGUAGGAUUACUGAAUGAGUCAAAAUAGUUGGGAUGUGUAGUGCCUGGAAGGGGGACGAUUACUGACCAUAGCAUAGGGGAGUUGAAUUGAGACAGUAUUUUAAUUAGAGCGAUUAAACAUUAUGAGU
Molecule: long non-coding RNA, 3860 nt
Filed under: Canis lupus familiaris (dog)
Lineage: Eukaryota; Metazoa; Chordata; Mammalia; Carnivora; Canidae
Description: lncRNA (ENSCAFG00000052591.1)
Source: RNAcentral